Molecule: small RNA, 68 nt
Filed under: Gracilibacillus kekensis
Lineage: Bacteria; Bacillati; Bacillota; Bacilli; Caryophanales; Bacillaceae
Description: Gracilibacillus sp. K170 Bacillaceae-1 RNA
Rfam family: Bacillaceae-1 RNA
Source: Rfam by way of RNAcentral
GAUGGAAGAGCAUUUGCUAAGUACACCUAUGUCCUGUAGGCAACACAGGUGUUAACACUUUCUGUGUA